UACGGAGGAUCCGAGCGUUAUCCGGAUUUAUUGGGUUUAAAGGGUGCGCAGGCGGGAGAUUAAGUCGGCGGUGAAAUUUUGCAGCUCAACUGUAAAAGUGCCUUCGAAACUGGUUUCCUUGAGUAUGGAUGAGGUAGGCGGAAUGUGUAGUGUAGCGGUGAAAUGCAUAGAUAUUACACAGAACACCGAUUGCGAAGGCAGCUUACUAAUCCAUCAUUGACGCUGAGGCACGAAAGCGUGGGGAUCAAACAGGAUUAGAUACCCU
Molecule: ribosomal RNA, 265 nt
Filed under: uncultured prokaryote
Description: partial 16S ribosomal RNA
Rfam family: Bacterial small subunit ribosomal RNA
Source: RNAcentral